GAGCAUAGGCAUGGAGAAAAACUUGUAUAAAAAGCCGUUCUUUUUCAUGAAAAUAUCAUUCUUCAUCUAGCAGUCCUUGCAAACAUAACAAAAAAUGUACCAGAAAUUUUUCCUCUUCGCCGUUCUCUUGGCUAUGAUGGCCAUCGUCUACACCAACUCUCUGCCCACUGCUGAAGAGGGUGAAGAAACUGACCAGACUUUCUGCAAACCAUUUUCUUCAUGCACCAACAGCACCGACUGUUCCAGCAAUCUUAUCUACAAGACUUGCCGCGCAAAUCUCUUUGGAAAUAAACAGUGCUGUUUAUUUUAAACCAAGAAAACAACUAACUAACUGAAAAUCGAGUCCCAGGAUACAUAAGACCCUAUGGAUUCAUUUUGAAUUCAUACUCCAUUGCACGAAAUUGCCCAUUUUAAUUUUGUUCUUUUUUUUUAAAUGAACUUUAUGUGUUUGACGGCACAAAUCUCUGAUUGGUUUCGGAAAAUACAGUUCUAUUAUAGUCCCGCA
Molecule: long non-coding RNA, 505 nt
Organism: Daphnia pulex (common water flea)
Lineage: Eukaryota; Metazoa; Arthropoda; Branchiopoda; Diplostraca; Daphniidae
Exons: 3
Source: RefSeq, a predicted model, not a curated record